UGGAUUAGGCAUGCAAGUCGCACGAGAAACCCCGCAAGGGGGAGUACAGUGGCGUAAGGGUGAGUAAUGCAUCGAUAAUCUGCCCCUCCAUGGGGGAUAACCCCGGGAAACUGGGACUAAUACCCCAUAAUGUCGCGGGAUUCGCUUUCCGCGACCAAAGGUGGCCUCUGUUUACAUGCUGCCGGGGAGGGAGGAGUCGAUGUCCUAUCAGCUUGUUGGCGGGGUAACGGCCCACCAAGGCGAUGACGGGUAGCUGGCCUGAGAGGGUGGUCAGCCACAUUGGGACUGAGAUACUGCCCAGACUCCUACGGGAGGCUGCAGUCGAGAAUCUUUCGCAAUGGGCGCAAGCCUGACGGAGCGACGCCGCGUGGACGAUGAAGGCCUUCGGGUUGUAAAGUCC
This 400-nucleotide ribosomal RNA is filed under the name uncultured organism. RNAcentral describes it as "bacterial SSU rRNA". It matches the Rfam family "Bacterial small subunit ribosomal RNA", at positions 45 to 433 of the family's 1533-position model. The record is from RNAcentral.